UACCGAGCGUAGAGAGGCGACGGGAUGAGUGUGUAGAAGUCAGCCGAGGCCGUAGUAAGUGGCGAUUAACCGCGCCAUCAAGGGC
This is a non-coding RNA of Pseudomonas putida GB-1, 85 nucleotides long. NCBI's taxonomy places the organism in Bacteria, Pseudomonadati, Pseudomonadota, Gammaproteobacteria, Pseudomonadales, Pseudomonadaceae. The record is from Rfam.